RNAcentral lists this ribosomal RNA (545 nucleotides) under uncultured Comamonas sp. RNAcentral's name for it is "bacterial SSU rRNA". It matches the Rfam family "Bacterial small subunit ribosomal RNA", at positions 376 to 915 of the family's 1533-position model. The record is from RNAcentral. Lineage: Bacteria; Pseudomonadati; Pseudomonadota; Betaproteobacteria; Burkholderiales; Comamonadaceae.
AGGCGAGCUGAUCAGCAUGCCGCGUGCAGGAUGAAGGCCUUCGGGUUGUAAACUGCUUUUGUACGGAACGAAAAGCUUUGGGUUAAUACCCUGGAGUCAUGACGGUACCGUAAGAAUAAGCACCGGCUAACUACGUGCCAGCAGCCGCGGUAAUACGUAGGGUGCAAGCGUUAAUCGGAAUUACUGGGCGUAAAGCGUGCGCAGGCGGUUUUGUAAGACAGAGGUGAAAUCCCCGGGCUCAACCUGGGAACUGCCUUUGUGACUGCAAGGCUAGAGUACGGCAGAGGGGGGUGGAAUUCCGCGUGUAGCAGUGAAAUGCGUAGAUAUGCGGAGGAACACCGAUGGCGAAGGCAACCCCCUGGGCCUGUACUGACGCUCAUGCACGAAAGCGUGGGGAGCAAACAGGAUUAGAUACCCUGGUAGUCCACGCCCUAAACGAUGUCAACUGGUUGUUGGGUCUUAACUGACUCAGUAACGAAGCUAACGCGUGAAGUUGACCGCCUGGGGAGUACGGCCGCAAGGUUGAAACUCAAAGGAAAUUGACG